RNAcentral lists this ribosomal RNA (406 nucleotides) under uncultured bacterium. Its description in RNAcentral is "partial 16S ribosomal RNA". It matches the Rfam family "Bacterial small subunit ribosomal RNA", at positions 30 to 526 of the family's 1533-position model. The record is from RNAcentral.
AUUGAACGCUAGCGGCAGGCCUAACACAUGCAAGUCGAACGAGUGGCGGACGGGUGAGUAAUGUCUGGGAAACUGCCUGAAGGAGGGGGAUAACUACUGGAAAAGGUAGCUAAUACCGCAUACAAUCAGAUGUGCCCAGAUGGGAUUAGCUUGUUGGUUGGGUAACGGCUCACCAAGGCGACGAUCCCUAGCUGGUCUGAGAGGAUGACCAGCCAAACGGGAAGUGAGACACGAGCCCGACGCCUACGGUAGGCAGAAGUGGGGAAGAUUGCACCAUGGGCGCAAGCCUGAUGCAGCCAUGCCGCGUGUAUGAAGAAGGCCUUCGGGUUGUAAAGUACUUUCAGCGGGGAGGCGUUACCCGCAGAAGAAGCACCGGCUAACUCCGUGCCAGCAGCCGCGGUAAUAC